UCUCAAGUAAAUCUGGACGUUGGUAUGUAGGGCUUAUAUUUUAUUAUGAAUGAUUGAUGGCACAAAUGAGCUUGUCGCCUAGUGGUGGUGGCGUGGCAUGAUUAUUGUGAGAGCAAGGGUUCGAAUCCCAUGGCAAGCAAGGAGCAACUAUUUUGCUAUCAGGGGACGGCAAGAGUUAGUGUUGGAUUGGAACUCUGGUGAUGGAGAGUUUGAAUUGGUCUUAUGGUUGGUUGUGGAGGAGUUUGAG
This 247-nucleotide long non-coding RNA is filed under the name Gossypium barbadense (sea-island cotton). Its description in RNAcentral is "long non-coding RNA (GBAR_LNC004347)". Lineage: Eukaryota; Viridiplantae; Streptophyta; Magnoliopsida; Malvales; Malvaceae. The record is from RNAcentral.